GAUGAAGAACGUAGCGAAAUGCGAUAAGUAAUGUGAAUUGCAGAAUUCAGUGAAUCAUCGAAUCUUUGAACGCACAUUGCGCCCGCUGGUAUUCCGGGGGGCAUGCCUGUUCGAGCGUCAUUUCACCACUCAAGCCUCGCUUGGUAUUGGGCAACGCGGUCCGCCGCGUGCCUCAAAUCGACCGGCUGGGUCUUCUGUCCCCUAAGCGUUGUGGAAACUAUUCGCUAAAGGGUGUUCGGGAGGCUACGCCGUAAAACAACCCCAUUUCUAAGGUUGACCUCGGAUCAGGUAGGGAUACCCGCUGAACUUAAGCAUAUCAAUAAGCGGAGGA
Molecule: unclassified non-coding RNA, 331 nt
Filed under: soil metagenome
Description: partial contains 5.8S ribosomal RNA, internal transcribed spacer 2, and large subunit ribosomal RNA
Rfam family: 5.8S ribosomal RNA (bases 1-120)
Source: RNAcentral